GUGCCGAUGGUGCAUGGGCAGCACGUUGCGUAGCAUAGCGCAAAGAGGCGGGUUCGAGCCCCGCAAGGCACUCCA
Molecule: transfer RNA, 75 nt
Filed under: Bacteriophage sp.
Description: tRNA-OTHER
Source: RNAcentral